RNAcentral lists this ribosomal RNA (269 nucleotides) under uncultured prokaryote. Its description in RNAcentral is "partial 16S ribosomal RNA". It matches the Rfam family "Bacterial small subunit ribosomal RNA", at positions 524 to 792 of the family's 1533-position model. The record is from RNAcentral.
UACGAACCGUACGAACGUUAUUCGGAAUCACUGGGCUUAAAGGGUGCGUAGGCGGCCUGGCAAGUUGGGUGUGAAAUCCCUCGGCUCAACCGAGGAACUGCGCUCAAAACUGCCGGGCUUGAGGAAGACAGAGGUGAGCGGAACUCAGGGUGGAGCGGUGAAAUGCGUUGAUAUCCUGGGGAACACCAGUAGCGAAGGCGGCUCACUGGGUCUUUUCUGACGCUCAGGCACGAAAGCUAGGGGAGCGAACGGGAUUAGAUACCCCCGUA